RNAcentral lists this ribosomal RNA (253 nucleotides) under uncultured bacterium. RNAcentral's name for it is "partial 16S ribosomal RNA". It matches the Rfam family "Bacterial small subunit ribosomal RNA", at positions 524 to 776 of the family's 1533-position model. The record is from RNAcentral.
UACAGAGGGGGCAAGCGUUGUUCGGAAUUACUGGGCGUAAAGGGCGCGUAGGCGGCCUGCUAAGUCGAACGUGAAAUCCCUGGGCUCAACCCAGGAACUGCGUCCGAUACUGGUUGGCUCGAAUCCGGGAGAGGGAUGUGGAAUUCCAGGUGUAGCGGUGAAAUGCGUAGAUAUCUGGAGGAACACCGGUGGCGAAGGCGGCAUCCUGGACCGGUAUUGACGCUGAGGCGCGAAAGCCAGGGGAGCAAACGGG